Molecule: ribosomal RNA, 423 nt
Filed under: Triticum aestivum (bread wheat)
Lineage: Eukaryota; Viridiplantae; Streptophyta; Magnoliopsida; Poales; Poaceae
Description: partial small subunit ribosomal RNA
Source: RNAcentral
AUGGGAGCCGUUUUUGCUUUAUUUGCUGGAUUUUACUAUUGGGUGGGUAUAAUCUUUGGUCGGACAUAUCCUGAAACUUUAGGCCAAAUGCAUUUUUGGAUCACUUUUUUCAGGGUUAAUCUGACCUUCUUUCCCAUGCAUUUCUUAGGGCUUUUGGGUAUGCCACGUCGCAUUCUGGAUUAUCCAGAUGCUUACGCCGGAUGGAAUGCUCUGAGCAGUUUCGGUUCUUAUAUAUCCGUAGUUGGGAUUCGUCAUUUCUUCAUAGUUGUCGCAAUCACUUCAAACAGUGGAAAGAACCAAAAAUGUGUGGAAAGUCCUUGGGCUGUUGAACAGAAUCCAACCACACUAGAAUGGUUGGUACAAAGCCCUCCGGCCUUUCAUACUUUUGGAGAACUUCCUGCGGUAAAAGAGACAAAAAGCUAA